Molecule: ribosomal RNA, 595 nt
Filed under: uncultured Pasteurella sp.
Lineage: Bacteria; Pseudomonadati; Pseudomonadota; Gammaproteobacteria; Pasteurellales; Pasteurellaceae
Description: bacterial SSU rRNA
Rfam family: Bacterial small subunit ribosomal RNA
Source: RNAcentral
UGACGAGUGGCGGACGGGUGAGUAAUGCUUGGGAAUCUGGCUUAUGGAGGGGGAUAACUGUGGGAAACUGCAGCUAAUACCGCGUAUUCUCUGAGGAGGAAAGGGUGGGACCUUAGGGCCACCUGCCAUAAGAUGAGCCCAAGUGGGAUUAGGUAGUUGGUGGGGUAAAGGCCUACCAAGCCUGCGAUCUCUAGCUGGUCUGAGAGGAUGACCAGCCACACUGGAACUGAGACACGGUCCAGACUCCUACGGGAGGCAGCAGUGGGGAAUAUUGCGCAAUGGGGGGAACCCUGACGCAGCCAUGCCGCGUGAAUGAAGAAGGCCUUCGGGUUGUAAAGUUCUUUCGGUAAUGAGGAAGGGAUGUUGUUAAAUAGAUAGCAUCAUUGACGUUAAUUACAGAAGAAGCACCGGCUAACUCCGUGCCAGCAGCCGCGGUAAUACGGAGGGUGCGAGCGUUAAUCGGAAUAACUGGUCGUAAAGGGCACGCAGGCGGACUUUUAAGUGAGAUGUGAAAUCCCCGAGCUUAACUUGGGAACUGCGUUUCAGACUGGGAGUCUAGAGUACUUUAUGGAGGGGUAGAAUUCCACGUGUAGCG